CCUGCUAGAAGACAAGCCCGCGGCUGAUUAGCUAGUUGGUGAGGUAAUGGCUCACCAAGGCAACGAUCAGUAGCCGGCCUGAGAGGGUGAACGGCCACACUGGGACUGAGACACGGCCCAGCCUCCUACGGGAGGCAGCAGUGGGGAAUAUUGCGCAAUGGGGGAAACCCUGACGCAGCAACGCCGCGUGAAUGAAGAAGGCCUUCGGGUUGUAAAGUUCUGUCAAUUGGGAAGAAACCUCCAAGGUAAAUAGCCUUGGAGAUGACGGUACCUAAAAAGGAAGCUCCGGCUAACUACGUGCCAGCAGCCGCGGUAAUACGUAGGGAGCAAGCGUUAUCCGGAAUUACUGGGCGUAAAGGGCGUGUAGGCGGCCAAUUAAGCUAGGUGUAAAAUGUUACAGCUCAACUGUAAACCCGCAUCUAGAACUGGUUGGCUAGAGGAUGAGAGAGGAAAGUGGAAUUCCUAGUGUAGCGGUGGAAUGCGUAGAUAUUAGGAGGAACACCAGUGGCGAAGGCGGCUUUCUGGCUCAUACCUGACGCUGAGGCGCGAAAGCGUGGGGAGCAAACAGGAUUAGAUACCCUGGUAGUCCACGCCGUAAACGAUGAGUACUAGGUGUAGGAGGCAACAGCCUUCUGUGCCGCAGCUAACGCAAUAAGUACUCCGCCUGGGGAGUACGCUCGCAAGAGUGAAACUCAAAAGGAAUUGACGGGGGCCCGCACAAGCGGUGGAGCAUGUGGGUUUAAUUCGACGCAACGCGAGGAACCCUUACCAAAAUCUUGACAUCGAUAGAAUCUGCUGGGAAAA
This 804-nucleotide ribosomal RNA is filed under the name uncultured bacterium. RNAcentral describes it as "bacterial SSU rRNA". It matches the Rfam family "Bacterial small subunit ribosomal RNA", at positions 214 to 1008 of the family's 1533-position model. The record is from RNAcentral.